AGACUAUGGGUGGAAGUGUAAGGGAGCGGUUUCCUAAGGUAGAGAAAGGCCAGGAAUGAAUGCUUGGCCAUGAUGACGAAGCAGAAUCCAGCUAACUAAACCCUCUCCACGCAUCUGGUUCUGUAAACAGAGUUUUGCAGCCACAACCGUGCCUGUUCUCACUCCGGUCUGUCCUGCCAAGCACGGACCGGAAGAGCUAGGCCACAAAAGCUUUGUGAAACCCUUCUUGGGGGCUGAGACUCCAGAGGGCGAUCUCCUCUGAGCCUGCCGGGGUAAUACACCUGAGUUCUCCAACUCUCCUAGUGCUCGCUUGGUUUCUCCUAGAGCUGCUGGAGCUGAUACGCUGCCGCCAUGGAGCUCCUGGCAGCUGCCGAAAUAUUUCUGGAGGCCCCAGUGAGAUUCCAACCAUUCUGGCCUCUUGAGCCACCAGAGCCAGGGCGAGGCCGCGCGGGGGUUGGGGGAGCCCAAGGAGCGAACGAGGUGACUGUGCCACCUGAUGGUAUCCCGGGUCCUCCUUCGUGAGUGGUGUUCCUUACUUCUGGCCAGCCCAACCCCGACGGGACUCGGCGGACGGAAGGCGUCCAGACAAGGAACUCCCAUGGAAUAGGUUUGAGGACAGCCCCAUGUAGACCCGUGACGCCGGAUGCGAGGACAUCUUGGUGUCGCCAUCGGGAAGGCUGUGGGCGGUUGUACCUCCUGCUGGAGUCUGUGUUCCAGUCUGAGAGCUGCUAGCUUGGCCUCUGUCCCUGAAGGUGUGUCUUCCAGCCAAGGGGCCGCCCCCCAUCCCCCACCUUGCAGGGGGUUCUUCCAGGAGUCCAUCAGCCUGGCCGUCCUCUCUGUGAGCUCAGAAGAGACUGCCCCCGAGAUCGAUGCCAUGGUGUGUGUCUAGAUUCUGAUGCUGGCAGCCCCCGCAGCAUGUUCCCAGGCUGGGGUCUAAUUGGAGCUGCAGCUGCCAGCCCACAGCAACGCUGGAUCUGAGCCGCAUCUGUGACCUCUACGUCAGCUUGCAGCAACACUGGAUCCUUAACCCACUGAGCGAGGCCAGGGAUCGAACCCCCGUCCUCAUGGAUGCUGGUCGGGCCGUUCCUCCAGAAGUUUGGCAGCCCCACCAGCCCCCUCGCUCCCGGGGGGGGCCUUGCCCCUUCAGCCUCCGCGCUGCUCUCCGCACAGAGCUGCCGUGGCCGUGGCUGAGCGAGCCCUGGGUGGGGCGAGCAACCUCUUCGACACACACAGCGCUCCUGGCCAUGGCGCAGCGCUUCCGGCAGAACCGCAGUGAACUCAUGACCACCUGGACCUGUGGGUCUAUGACGGGGGGAGGGGGGGCCCAGCCCUGUCCCUGGAUUCCGGGGAGCAGAUGCUGCGGGCGACCUGACCGGCGACACUGUCUUCAGCUACUGCUGCAAGGCUCUGCAAGACGCUGCUGGCCUGGCGCCAGCGCUGGAAGUCCUUCCUGCACUUGGAGACCACUGAGCCGCCCUCUGGCCCUGGAUCGCCAUGGAGGAGGGCUUCCAACUGGUGUGUGAGCUGGGCACGCUGGACUGGAUCUACCACGAGCCAAGCCCAAGUGCCUGGCUCCCAAAGACAUGCCUGUGGCGGUGCCUACUGACGGCCGCGCCCUCGGAGCUGUCCCUCUCCCUGGUCAGCCUGCUGGUCAAGGGCAUGACGGUGCUGAAGAUCCAGACCAUGGCCGCCAAGCUCCUGCUGGGGCCCAACCCGAUGAACACAAAUCGUGGGCUGGCUGCUGAGCCGCGGUGUGUCCAGGGAGCGGGUGGACCGGUGAACCACCAGGGUCCUCCUGGAGCUGCCCAUCAAAGGGGCCAAGCACAGCCGGGGCUGAGGCCCCCCACGUGCUGGUGGAGGAGCAGCCCCUGCCUCCCCGGUCCUCUGACCAGGCCUGCAGGGAGGAGCUGCAGUGCACCAGGACUACGCACCCCACAAUCCAGGCCACUUUCUGCUUGGUGCUGGGAGUGGAGCAGGGGCCCAUGUCGGAGAGACACAAAGUCUUGGCCAAAGCGCCUCCUGAUCGUCCCCAGGAUAGACAGAGGGACAGCACCCCCAGCUCCAGCCAUCUCCUGCCAGGCCAGACCCUGACCACGCAUCCUGAAAACCUCGGAGAGGGUCCUUGCCCCCGCCGCCGUGGGCAUCACUGGCCUGAGCUGGUGGAGAGCAGCCAGUUGGCUGGCGUUGCUGGUUGAGGGGAGAGAGUCCGUUAAAUAUUUCAGUCUGUUACACCUUAGCCUGAUAAGCGGGGUGGGUGGGCACCCACCGUUGUGCCACACGGGCCCCCAACGCACUACAGGCCAAGCUUGAGACCCCGCAUCCCACCCCGCAAAAGCACCUUCAAGUUUGUGCCCUUGCCCUUGAGGUUUUUUCUUUAACGCGGUGGCUGUACCUGAUACUUGACUUUAGGCGUGUGCGGCGCUUGGGUUUAGUGUCCUCACUACUGCUUUUGUGAUGGUUUUUCUCUAAGUUGUUUUUUUUUGUUUGUUUUUUUUGCAAUGCCCUUUUCUUGAAAUGGAAUUUUUUUGCCUUUUGCUUUCCUGGGAAAAGGGCAGCCAGUCCCUUCCAGUUUCUCUCGCUGCACGCGUGGCUGGAGUGUCUGCAUCACCAGAGUUCCAGCAUUGUGAGGAUGGACAGCCGUGGCAGGUGGUGCCGGACACCAUUAAAGAGCCCAUGUGCUGCUACGUGUG
This 2690-nucleotide long non-coding RNA is filed under the name Sus scrofa (pig). Its description in RNAcentral is "lncRNA (ENSSSCG00065077207.1)". Lineage: Eukaryota; Metazoa; Chordata; Mammalia; Artiodactyla; Suidae. The record is from RNAcentral.